GAUGAACGCUGGCGGCGUGCUUAACACAUGCAAGUCGAGCGAGAAGUUUUGAAAAGAUUCUUCGGAUGAAAUUUAAAAUGGAAAGCGGCGGACGGGUGAGUAACGCGUAGGCAACCUGCCCCAUACAAAGGGAUAGCAUUUGGAAACGAAUAUUAAUACCUUAUGAAACUUAACUAGUGCAUGCUAGGUAGGUCAAAGAUUUAUCGGUAUGGGAUGGGCCUGCGUCUGAUUAGCUAGUUGGUGAGGUAACGGCUCACCAAGGCGACGAUCAGUAGCCGACCUGGGAGGGUGAACGGCCACGUAGGAACAGAGACACGGGCCAAACACCUGCGGGAGGCAGCAGUGGGGAAUAAUGAACAAUGGGGGAAAGCCGGAUGCAGCAACGCCGCGUGAACGAUGAAGGCCUUUGGUACGUAAAGUUCUGUUCUAGGUGAUGAAAACUGACAGUAACCUAGGAGAAAGCCCCGGCUAACUCCGUG
This 479-nucleotide ribosomal RNA is filed under the name uncultured bacterium. Its description in RNAcentral is "partial 16S ribosomal RNA". It matches the Rfam family "Bacterial small subunit ribosomal RNA", at positions 28 to 507 of the family's 1533-position model. The record is from RNAcentral.